Long non-coding RNA from Orbicella faveolata, 414 nucleotides. RefSeq lists it as uncharacterized. The record is from RefSeq and is a predicted model, not a curated record. NCBI's taxonomy places the organism in Eukaryota, Metazoa, Cnidaria, Anthozoa, Scleractinia, Merulinidae.
CAAAUCCAACAUGGCGCCCAAGGCUAUCCGAAAAUCAAGUCCAACAAGAAGCCGUUUAGGUGCGGCAGGGGCGUUUGUAAUGGACUUCUACAGAAAUCCUACAAAAUGGCAACUAAUCAAACACACUGCAAUAUUUAUUCUUGCUGUUGCCGCAGCUAGGGAAUUUUCAGAUAUUGACCUCAUGGCUCCUCCUCCAGCUCCAUAGAGUCUCUGGUUUACUUCUACUGUAAGACACAGACAAUUUGUGCGAUGGAGUAUGGCUGGUGCCUCCAGAACAUCUGCUAUGGACAAUAGAUUGCCUGUUUCUUUGUAAAAUAUUUUGUCAACCUUGCUAUGUUACUGGUCAAUAUUGUGUACGUGGACUACACCCAUCAAAUCAGUAUUGUAAUUUGAGAUAAAUAAGGUUUUAGCAAU